This 254-nucleotide long non-coding RNA is filed under the name Gossypium barbadense (sea-island cotton). RNAcentral's name for it is "long non-coding RNA (GBAR_LNC014165)". The record is from RNAcentral. Lineage: Eukaryota; Viridiplantae; Streptophyta; Magnoliopsida; Malvales; Malvaceae.
CAGUGUGUGGGCCAUAGCCCAAAACAGUAACAGAGUGUGGGCCUUAGCCCAAUUCAGUAACAGUGUGGGCCUUAGCCCAAAACAGUAAUUACUACAACUGCAAUAAUGCAACCCAUCCCAAUCCAGCCAACACACCACUCCGUACCACUAACACACCAUGUGGGGAUAAAAUCGACCCACUCAGCCAACACACCAAUAUCGCAGCAAAGCUGCCAGUAACAGUAAUGCAGCAGAGCUACCAGUAUCAAUAACGC